RNAcentral lists this ribosomal RNA (480 nucleotides) under uncultured bacterium. Its description in RNAcentral is "bacterial SSU rRNA". It matches the Rfam family "Bacterial small subunit ribosomal RNA", at positions 30 to 506 of the family's 1533-position model. The record is from RNAcentral.
UUGAACGCUGGCGGCAUGCCUUACACAUGCAAGUCGAACGGUAACAGGUCUUCGGAUGCUGGCGAGUGGCGAACGGGUGAGUAAUACAUCGGAACGUGCCCGAGAGUGGGGGAUAACGGAGCGAAAGCUUUGCUAAUACCGCAUACGUCCUGAGGGAGAAAGCGGGGGAUCUUCGGACCUCGCGCGAUUGGAGCGGCCGAUGUCGGAUUAGCUAGUAGGUGAGGUAAAGGCUCACCUAGGCGACGAUCCGUAGCGGGUCUGAGAGGAUGAUCCGCCACACUGGGACUGAGACACGGCCCAGACUCCUACGGGAGGCAGCAGUGGGGAAUUUUGGACAAUGGGCGCAAGCCUGAUCCAGCCAUGCCGCGUGAGUGAAGAAGGCCUUCGGGUUGUAAAGCUCUUUCGGCCGGGAAGAAAUCGUGGUCUCUAACAUAGGCCAUGGAUGACGGUACCGGACUAAGAAGCACCGGCUAACUACGU